Molecule: ribosomal RNA, 460 nt
Filed under: uncultured bacterium
Lineage: Bacteria
Description: partial 16S ribosomal RNA
Rfam family: Bacterial small subunit ribosomal RNA
Source: RNAcentral
CCUACGGGGGGCAGCAGUGAGGAAUAUUGGUCAAUGGCCGGAAGGCUGAACCAGCCAUGCCGCGUGAAGGUCAGUGCCCUAUGGGCGUUAAACUUCUUUUGUGCGGGAGCAAUAAUGGUCACGUGUGGCCAGACGACAGUACCGUACGAAUAAGCAUCGGCUAACUCCGUGCCAGCAGCCGCGGUAAUACGGGGGAUGCAAGCGUUAUCCGGGUUUAUUGGGUGUAAAGGGUGCGUAGGCUGUGAGGUAAGUCAGCGGUGAAAUGCCCCCGGUCAACGGGGUGCGGUGCCAUUGAUACUGCCUUGCUGGAGUGCGGAUGACGUAGGAGGAAUGUGUGGUGUAGCGGUGAAAUGCAUAGAUAUCACACAGAACACCGAUUGCGAAGGCAUCACACGAAUCCCCGAUUGACGCUGAUGCACGAAAGCGUGGGUAUCGAACAGGAUUAGAUACCCCAGUAGUC